GCUGGAAUGAAUUGUUUGCUGGCCUUUUCUGAGAUUCCCAAGGGCUUACACGCCCCGCCCCACCCAGACCCUCACUUACUGUAGCUGUCCCCUCCAAGCGCCAGCCCGUGGGACGUCUCUUCCCCACACGGGAUGCAUGCAGAUCUGCUGGCCCGGUUUCUGCUCAGGAUGGCGUCUUCCUCUUGUGGGGAUCUACUUACAUUCUGCUCUGAAGCCCAGAAAAGGCUUCUCUCAAGGAACGAAUCUCUACGGAGGGAUGGGGAGUAGGGUGGAGAGGACUCAGGCAUCACCCCAGCAGGUGCAAGACUUCAGGUGUCCUCACCCGCAGCACUUCCUUCGCCGAGGAGGAGGUCGGCUAGCCUCUCUGGCCGGUGCAGGGAUGAGGCGUGAAGGAGACGGAAGAGGGGAAAGCAGCAUGACAGAGGCGGAUGGUGCAGACCUCAGACUGCCCAGUGGAAUUCUGUGCCCUUGGUACUUUCUGGGGGCGGAGGAGCCCGCCGUAGCCUGGAUGUGGCCCGUGGUCUGGAAGCAGGAGAGACUUCCUUGCUUAUUCUCUCAUCGUUUUGCCUCCUUCCUCUCAUCUGAGUCCACUUCCAAAUCUUGUGGUUUUCCCCAUUGGUAUGUUUGCUCCUCUCCACUCCUGCCGACCCCUCUCUUCACCUCCCUCAUCUGCCUCUGGGCAGAGUUCCCCUGGCACAGACUCUGCCCUUGGGCUGCACACACAUCAGCCUGGUCUUCCUUGAAGUGUGUGCGUGCGCGUGUGCGUGUGCGUGUGCGUGUGUGACUACCCAGAUCUUUCACAGGAGGACUUGCAGUACUUCAUCUUCCCCCUCUAACGUCUGGGAGUUGACAGACCCGAUUACGCUCACAACCACCAGAGGGCGCAGCGAUUCCGGAGUGCGUGGCCGGCUCACACCGUCUUGGAAACAGGCAACGUUUGAAUCUAAGAAGUGCAGAGCGGAAUGUGGUAGCUUCGGUCACCGUUUGUGACCACUUCAUCUCCUUUGUUCCAAAUGCAGUCAAAGUCUGCUCUAACAAAACUCAGGGUCACAUGAUUUCGGUUAUGCCUGGGCCUCAUUCCAGCCCUUCAACUAUGUGCAGGCACAUAGCGUUCGGGAAAGGUUUUCAGAAAUGGGCAUUCUGGUGGGGUCUCCUUUAUAAUGACAAGAUGGCCAUUUGGCCACAGCACAAAGCAGGGCUGAGGAAAACGGGGUAUGGGCUAGGGCUCUUCUGGGCGGGGCUCCUAAACAUGGGGCUCUGCCCCGGGCUCCGAUGUUAUUUACCACGUGAAUCCGUGACUUAGUAAUAAAGAGAGUGGGUGUUCAUGGAGCACCUACUAUGCCAGCAAAUUUGCCUGGCACGUGAUAAAUAUUAUCUCUCAUCCUCGUGAUAAACUUGCAAGACAGGUAUUCUCAUUUGACAGAUAUAAAAGUUGAUGCGCAGUGAUGGUGAAUGAUGCGCCCAGAGUUACACAGCCUGCCAGGGGUGGAGCGACGAAUCCAUCUCCAGGUGUGCUGAACUACAAGCUGGGUGAUUUUCCGUUACUUGUACUUUUCUCCCCAUUUGAUGUUUCGGUCUCUGUCCAUCUUUCAUGAUAAAAUUCACACCAAUCUUCCUGUUUUAUUCAGGCUAGGCUACCUGUUGUAACAAAUAGUCCCAAACUCUCAGUGGCUCAACAAGAUAAAAAUCUUUACUGCUCAGGUCCAAGUCCACUGCAAGUCAGACAGGGGCGUCUCUCCACACAGCCAGUCAGGGACCGGGCAUCUCCCAUCCGAAGGAGCUGCUGUCUUCAGAAUGCGGCCUCGGAGGUCUCCACAGGUCAGUCAAGCGAUGGAGGGUCACACCAAGAGCUCUGUGUGCACCAGACCUGGACGCAGCCCACGCCACUUUCCAUUUGUCUGAAUGAGAUCAGUUGGUCCCAAUCGAACUUCAGGGGGGCUGGGACAUGCGGUUUAGUCCUGUGCCCGCAAAGAAGAGAAAAUGGGUACUGUGAGCACUGCCUCUCUGACCUCCCCCUCUCUCACAAGACUGUACUGAGGAUGAAAUGAAACAAACUCUGUCAGGGUGCUUUACCCAGACGAGAGAUUACGAUGCCUUACAGCUGGAAGGAAGGGGCUGGGAGAGAGAGAUCGCAGCUGGGGGUGUAUGUUCAGGAGUCUUCUGAACUCAUGUAAGUCUUUCACCCUCUGCCUCACAUGUUUAUUUCCAGCAUUCAUUCAUUCAUUCACUCGCUCAUUCAUUCAUUCCCCAACAAAUCGUUCGAUGCCUUGAGUACUGUGCCACAUGUUGGUGUAUGUGAUAGGUGUGAUGUUUUAGCCUGAAGAAAAUCCUCUUCUGGAGCUGGUGUUGGUGUUAGGAAGGAGGAGUUGCCACCUGCUCCGAAGUGGAAGUGGUCUCAUGUAAUUGACCUGCCCCACGUGGCUGGCUGGGCUAUAUGAUGAGGGUCUUUGCUUCAAGGAUCGGUCAGCAUUGGUCUUUUUGCUGGCAGGUUGGACCAUCAGCAAUCACAGCCUGGGAAAAGGGAGCCCCUGUUUUUGGACUUUUGUGUAACCCACAUCCUUGUCACUUUGACCCCUCUGUUCACAGACACACUGAGCAAAUGCUGCGGUAUUUGAGGAGAGAGGUUGGGUGACAGGCUGAGGAUGGGCCAUCCUGUCCAGCUGCUGGCGGACAGCCCCAGGAGAGAUCCCUAUGGACCAAGAAACCCUGACUGCCACUCCAGCGUGCUGCCUAUUAAAGAGAGAGAGAGACAGCGAGAGAGGGAACACAAGCAGAGAAGUGUGAGAGGAAGAAGCAGGCUCCCCGCUGAGCAGAGAGCCCGAUGCGGGGCUCGAUCCCAGGACCCUGGGAUCACGACCUGAGCUGAAGGCAGACGCUUAACCGACUGAGCCACCCAGGAGCCUCUUAACUGUGUCUUCUAGAAAGCAGAGCUUUAGCCGAGGAUUCAAGUGCUGAUGUGAUAUUUGCAAAUUGCAAGACCUUUGAGAUGAGGGUGAAGAAGAAUGGAAAGUGAGUCAAAGGAACACGUGAAGCUACGCAGCAUGUUACUGGGCUGGCCAUUGCUCCGCAACAAGCCCCCAAAAGCCACGCAACUCAAUUGGCGGGCAUGCUCAUGCUGCACAUUGGAUUUUCUCUGAAAGAAUUUCAAGGAGAAACGAGUCCUCAGAGUAGUCCACAGAAGGGGGAAAUGAGAAAUUUGUCAUGUGGCUCCCUGUCACCUUCCAUUUCCUAGCGGAUGCUCAGCCCCCUGUGUCACCUGAUCUGCCUCCACGGCAGUGGCUCAGAGGGCCAGAUGCCAUGCUCUGACCGUGGCGUGUUAUCCAAGUCUAGACCUCAGUAUGGUACACAGUACCAGCUGGCCACGUGGCCUGGGGCGUAGCCAGGGUUCCUGCCCCCUGGGGGAGGUUGUUAAAAGCAGUGGCAGGAUCAUGGUUCAGGAGACAAGCAGAACCUUGGGCAGGAAGCCAGAAAGGCAAUCCAGAGAGGCACCAGGUCAGGGUCAGCUACACUGUGUUUCAGGAAAAGGGGGACAAAUCAGGUGCACGUCACUCAAGAAUUCUUACCUUGGAGAUAAUUUCAUCAGAUACAGUUUUGUUACUUUCAAGGGCUCUACACAUUAUAAAGGAAAGCUUAAGUGUGUGAACGUCGUCCAUGAAAGCAUCCAGGUGUGCCGAGUUUCAUGCCAUAGCCCUGCUCCUGACAGAAAGGAAGAACUCCGUGUUUCAGGGAGCCUGGCCAGAUGGACUUUUCACUCACUGAAGAUAAAGCCAGUGGCUCCCAGAUAUUGUAUGUUCUCAAAUGAAGUUGAAGGGCUUGCGUUUUUCUCACGAGAUGGCUCCCGGCUGGCAGCUGUGGGCUGGGCUUUAGGGAGCCGGGACAGUGAAGGAAAACCAGACUGAAGCUGUCACCGAUUUCUGAUGACCUCAGGACAUGCCAAUGACAAAAUGCUGAUGAAUUAAGCUGAUUUUGCUCAACAGUGCCAAACUUUUAGGGUUAAUGGGAUUCAUUUCCUCACAGAGGGAGUCACACCUUGAGAUUUGAUUGACAACCACCGGUGAACAGUGUGAUGUUAACCUGAAAUACUCUCAGAGCCUUGCUACUUUAAUAAGAGUCACGUAUCGCUCUCUGAGCACCUGCUAGCACACUGAGGUCUAUUUCAGACUUGGAAGCCCAAUUCUACCUAUAACUGAAGCAUACAAACAACACAGAAGUACUGGACGUCUUCCAAAGGCCCAUUUCUUAUAGGCAGGCCUUCAAUAAGCUUUAAUCUGCUGAUGUGAAGUCGGAAAGUCAGGGAGAUUUUGAGGACCUCAACCCUAACCGCUGGGCAAGUUGAUGGGCGCUGGCCUCCCGUGCCUUCUCUUUCCCCGCCGCCUCCGCAGGUCCCCGUCCCGCGGUCCUUAAUCGCAGCGAGCUCACGGUGGCCGGCUGCCUGCUCCGCGCUGUGCAUGUCACCACAUGACACGCUAUCACAGCUGCGUCAUGGCCAGCUGUUCUAACCCCCAUCUUACAGCGGAGAAGAUGCAGGAGCGCGAGUCCAAAAUUGCUCGUAGCAGGGGCGGAGCCAAGACCCACCACCCAGCCCACCGGCUGAGCCACUGCUCAGUACCAGCUCUUAGGACGCAUGCCAACUCCACCGCAAAGGCCUUCCUGACCCUCAACAGAAGCCAGUGCUGGACCCACGCGUGCAGGCCUGCUGAAAGAGGGCGAACAGGUCCCAGCCCGGCUUCACCCUGAUCACUGCCAUGUCCUCUUACCCCUUCCUUCGUCAGUGGAGCAGAGGUAGGGUUUUCCAGAAGGGGAGGCUGAUACGGAGUUUGAGGGGCAGAGGAAGAUGUUGAACAGUGAUGCGGACCCAGCAAAGCCUCGGGCAACCUAGCCCUGAAGUGAGCAGGCCCAGUUACACCCCCGCCUCUUCUUGUCUAAGCCCCAGGGGAGGAGGCUCCCUGGAGCUGAGGCCGACCCAGAAGAGCUGACCUGGAGGCCGUCUCCAGCCCUCACUGCACACACCUGGGCAGCGGGUCCUUCCUCAGAGGGACCUAGGAGCCACAUCUCCGUGUGCACCUCACUCUGUCACAGGAUGCCAUUGCCCAGUGACCAGCUGGCUCCUGCCUCUACUCUCCCAGGAUCAAGGCUCUCACUUCCCACUGAGGCAGCCCACCUCCAUUUCACAAGGUUCUACAUUCUCCUCUCCUGGGCCCAAAGCUAAAACAGCUGUGUGUUGAACUUGCCGUGUACCACACACACUGAUCAGACGCCUGACGCUCCUCAGCGAACAGAAGACAUGAGCGAGCCUGCACUAUGGACUUCACUCUACUGGGGACAGAUCAUGAAAACAAAUGUCAUAAAUCCUGGAGGAGGAUCCUGUAAAGACCCACCUAAAAGGAAGGAGGGACAGAAAAGCACAAGGGAAACGAGCCAAGGGUAUAUCCUGAGCAGCCCUCUUGAGCCCCAAGAGCAUGAGUGGAAAGAAGCAAGAAGACCAGCAAAAUGAAGAAAUGACAACCUACAGUUUAAAGUAAGAAUGGAGGCAGAAGUACUUCCAACAUUAUGUAGAAGAACUAGAAAUCCAUGGCUUUCCAGGGCCAUUCAGUAUGGUAGAGCCCCUCACACCUCUGAAACUUGAGUCUGCCAGGGCUUUGCAGCUGAGCCCACGGAUGCUCAGGAAAAGGCCUUGCUAUCCUUAAAAGCGGGUGGAGUUACAGUGAGCAUUUUUUAUUUUAAAAACAUGUAUGCAAGGGGUGCCUUGGUGGCUCAGUCGGUUGAGUAUCUGACUCUUGGUUUCAGCUCAGGUCAUGAUCUCGGGGUGGUAAGAUUGAGCCCCAUGUUGGACUCCACACUGAAGGUGGCGCCUGCUUAAGAUUCUCUCUCUCCCUCUCCUCUACCACCCACCCAUGCUCUCUUUUUAAAAUGAAUACAUACAUCUUUAAAAAACAUAAAAAAUAUAAAACAUGUAUGCAAUAUGUUUUAGAAAGUUUUCUUUCCAAUGUAUAUAAUAAUAUGUAUAUAUUUUAAGUUCCAAUUGUGGGAGAGUUAAGCUUUAAAUUUCUAGACACCUGCUUGUGUGGCAUACCACAAAAAUGAGAGGCUAUUGUAGUUUUGACAGUCUGUAGACAAUAUUUAAAGCUCUAGAUAAUUGCAGAGAGAAGUAUUUGGAGAGCAUGAGCUGUGUCUUCAUUUCUUUUGGUAACCGGUGCUCCUUGGUUGAGACGCACAUUGGAUUGUUGGUAAAUUUGUGUUGAAGGGCUGUGUAUGGCUUGGGGAAGGAUCCAAAGUGAACCUGGUGGGUGGCCUUGUAAAUUCUACCUUCAUUUAAAGUUGGUUUUCUUGAAAAACUCAUAGAAAUAUAAAAGAAAUCUCAAAACAUUAAGAAGUAUGGCUUGCUUUGUGUUCUUCUAAAAAUUACUAAAUUGUUUCCAUUAAAUGUUAAUUCUAACAAAAUAGCAUUGAGUGAAUGAAUGAAAAAGGUAAAAAAAGGAGACAGCAACUCUGUCGGUAAUCGCCGUCUCCGAUUCCUCACCUUUAACAUGAGUGUUUUAAACUGUAUGGUGCAUUCCAACUUCAAAUUCUAUGACUCUGGUAAUA
This is a long non-coding RNA of Mirounga angustirostris (Northern elephant seal), 6585 nucleotides long. RefSeq lists it as uncharacterized. The transcript has 12 exons. NCBI's taxonomy places the organism in Eukaryota, Metazoa, Chordata, Mammalia, Carnivora, Phocidae. The record is from RefSeq and is a predicted model, not a curated record.